This is a long non-coding RNA of Passer domesticus (house sparrow), 5536 nucleotides long. RefSeq lists it as uncharacterized. The record is from RefSeq and is a predicted model, not a curated record. Lineage: Eukaryota; Metazoa; Chordata; Aves; Passeriformes; Passeridae. The transcript has 4 exons.
UAGUAAGCUGGCAGAAUUAGACUCCCUCUUACAAAACAUUCUAAAGGGACUCUCAGAACUGGAUGUACAGGGCUCUCCAGGAAACCAUACCAGAACAUGGGCUGGCUUUAGAAAGAGUGGCUUAUCUUAUUUUCCAGGUGCCUUGUUUACCUGGACUGUGUCGAACAAGGGCCUCCCUUUUCCAAGACUCUGCAUCAUGGGGAUUAAUGAAGAGGACUUGUCAUUGCCUCCAGCUGCCAUUUAAAGCUGUCUCUGCUCCCUGCAGAGUGUGGAUGGUUUCCCAAGGAAAUUGUUAUCUCAGCCCAUAGCCUCUGCCUUUGUCCCUCUCUUACUGGAACCUUUGGGGGUAUAUCCAUGGGAAAUUCAGAGAUCACAUCCACUCUGUGCAGCUGAAUUUUGCUGGAGCUGGGCACAUGUUUGAACUGAUAGUAGAAAGAGGCCCUUGGGACCAUCAUGUGUAUCUAAGGAGCACCCAAUGCAUUUGCUUUGACCUGUGCUCUCCUUCUAUGCAAUGCCUGGCUCACCUGGUACCACAGACAGUGUUGCACAUGAAUAAUGUAGCACUCUUUCCUGCAGUGAGCAAUUUAAAGCAGAAAGGUGGCUCUGAUAAGGGAAUUCUGAAAAUACUAUGCUAGCAGGGAAGACUGAAUGUUUAAAUAACUGAACAUCCUCACUGAAGAUGAAUGUAUAAAACAAGGCAGAAUUUCUCUCUGGCAUGCUUUCCUUUGGUGACUGUGGGAGUUCUGUAGAGCUUUCCUAGCCAUGAUAGUAAGAAACAGGACAACUGCAUGGUGCUAAGUCACAGCUGGGGAGGUUGUUCUUCCUGUAACUCUCCUUCACCUUCUGCUGAAAAAUAUUCUCUCUGUUUUGCUGAGUACAAACCAACAGUAUGCCUUGGAGAAAGAAUGGCAAGUGGGAGGUCACAUGGUAGCUUUGCAUUCAUCUAUUCAUAUCUGUCCUGUAGACCCAAAUUGGCACCUGGUUAGGUUCCUUUCUGUAUUUUCCUGGGAUGGCAACAAUAAGUGAUUUACAAAUAAUUUCUCAGGCAGGUGUUAUUACCUGGGAUAAGAAGGCUUGGAAAUCUUCCUCUUCACAUUAGCACUUGCAAGCUUUUUGCCUUGAUUCAGUUCUUGAAGCCUACAUGGAAAUUGUGCUAAUCCAUCAGUUUAAACAUUCAUGCAGCUCCUUUCUGAGCCUCUAUAAGCAGAUUGGUAUUGCAGACGAUGCCUUAAGCUUCCUCUAAAACCUGUACUGGUACCUGACUACCAGGUCUAGCAGCUGCAAGUGAUAUUUCUUUCUGACUGUGAGCAACUGAGGAAAUUUAGCCCAUUCUAUCUGAUGGUAAUUUGGUUAUGGUGACUCACCUCCUUCCAUGUUUUCCAGGGUAAUUGUUACAACAUUCUCUAGCUGCCAACACAAUCCCCAGGGGUCUGUAGAAAAUUUUUAUUUGAAGUGUUCUAGUUGUAGAGGGUGGUUGUUAAUUUCUUUAAGUAUAACCAAAUCUGAGUCUAAUCCUAGCUAUCAGGUGUUAUUGGGAAACACUUCUAAAGAGGUAUCUUUCCUGCUUCUUCUGCAGAUACAUACCUUAGGAAUGAUGUAAUAAUCCGUACUAUAGGCUUAGGAGAGUAGGAUAUGUUUCUGUCCUAUAACUCAUCUGGACCUACACAGAUUUUCAUAUGCACUGACAUGUUGCCUUUGGCACCACAUUUCAGACUUGUACCUGUUGUUUUUCCAGUAAUAAAAAUUUUGGCUUAGCAGUAAUUGAUUGCACAUAGCACUCUGCAGAGUACAUUUUUUCUCACAUUUGCAGCCAAUAGAAAGAUGUAAAAAUGAUACCAAGUUGAAGAGCUUUGUAGGUCAAUUUAGUGAUAGCGGGAUUCGCUGCUAACCUUCUCUCUGCGCUUCUUUUGCUCAGCUGAUUGCUACAUCUGUUUUGACUUGUAAGCAGUCCUGUGUAGGGGGUCUGAAAGUGAAGCUGAUUCAUCCUUCAUGGGACAGACUAGUCAAACUAUACUGCUUUGUGGCCAGGCUAAAAAGUUGAUUUUGCAAUGUAAUAAGCAGCUCAAAAAGUGAAGCACAGGAUGACUCAAAGAGUCAUACACAUGCUGUCUUUUAACAUCAGCAAUCUAGCCCCUCUAUUGCAAGAGCCUUCCCCUCUCUCCCAUGUUUCUCUGACAGCAGUUUUGAAAAGUACAACUUCAUCCUCCCUUCCCUGUGCACCACAUGCUGGUGUCGUACUCAGUCCUUACUCAUUCCAACCGUCUCCCCCAGCAGAUUCCAACCCUCUCCCCCAGCCCUCCAGCUUCAAUUGCUGAGGUGCAGCAGAAGCAUCCUGACUAUACUUCCAACACAUAUAGUCCAGAUAUAAACACAUAUUUCCAGUUAACUUCCAGAUAACACAUAUACUUCCAGUCCACAUAUAGUCUCCAGGUGUGUUACAGUCAGCUGUGACUGUGCCUGAAUCCAUAGGGAACAUACCUCACCAGAUGCAUUCCAAGUCCUGUGCGUUUUCAUGAGCCUGGACACAGAGCCACCAGAUAUGCCUAGCCACCAUUGCAGCAGGUGCUACAUUUCUGCAGGAGUAAUAUGUACGGGCUCAGGCUGUUGGAAUCUCUUUGCCAAGAAAUCCAUGUAAAAUGCAGCAUGUCCAAGCAGUCACUCCUGUUUGAGACCCCUUGUCACCCUGCCCUAAAUUCUUCUUAGUCUUCCUCUCUGCCUGGAGUAUGCGAGUGCAUAUUGGCGUCCUAGGCUUGGUGACAGCAGAGCCAGUUUGGGCAAGGUGGUCCAGGUUUGCCUUGUCUCAGGGCAGACCAGUGAAUUUUAAGCUGCAUCAACUGACUCAGCAACGUAAUUGCUUUCUAAAAAAUGAUCUUUAAAGAUGCAUGUGUUGGAUUUGGACCUCACCCAAAGCAGUCUGGCUGGUGCAGAAAUGCUAGGUUAGUUUGGUUAAAUCCAAAUCCACUGAGAUCCUUAGCUGGCUUUGAAGCAGCAUAGCUGCUGGUCCCACUGCUCCUGGAAAGCUUCCUAUGAUAAAUGGCGUAGCCAUACAGAAGAAUACCAUCAGUUCCCUUCUAUGUACUGCUCGUCUGACUUUUGAAGAACCAAGUACUUCUACUUGCAAAGUCUGAGUGGCUUGGCUAUAACCCUUUUGGAAACCUUAGGCAUUGUUGAAAACCAAUUUUCUUUCUCUUUUCCACCCACUGCCUUGUCUUCUGAGUCAGACAAUGCCUGAAAAGAAAUGUGAUUUUUUUUUUGUACAGUGGACAGAGUUUAACAAAUAAAAAAUCAAAUAGAAAUAAAUUUCAAUAUUGUGCAGAGUGCUUCUAGGCUAGCUUCAAAGAUACUUCAAUGCUCCAUCUCCCCUGACUUAGCCAACAGCAUGCUUCAUUUACUUUCUUUGGAGUUACAAUUUGGGAAUUACUCCUCCAUUUCACUGUCAAAGUUGAAAUAGUGAUGCAAUUCAAUUGAGGCACCUGUUUUAAACAAUAAUGCUGUGACACAGCAUCUCUGCAAUAAAAAGGUUUCAAUGAAUUAGGGAGGUAACUUCUCCUUUGAGGGAGGAACACAGCAAACAGAGGUUUAGGACAUGGAACUGGCUUCAGCACAGCCAGCCCUAAAACCUUCACUGUUGCUGUCUAUAAGGCCUGACCAUUUAGGAAAGUGGCUCUUUUCUAAAUCUCCUCACUCUGUCAAGCAUGUGACAUUUGGGAGUUUCUAAGCUCUUGUAGUUUCAUAAUUUUUUCAAUCAGUUGAAUCCCAAAGGUCCUAAAACCUGUGACUCUGCAUCUUACCCUUGUCUCCUCAUCCUUGUAAGGUGAGAAAAAUCAUAUAUAUCCACUUCCACCUGAGGCUGUCUCUGGAUGCCCUUGCCCUACCUUAAAAUCAUUUACCUGUAACCACUGAUCUCUUGUGGCUGUCUAAACUCAGCAGUUAGGUUAACAACAAAAUUUCCAAAAAUAGUACAACCAAUAUCACCCAAUAAAAAUAGUCAUAUGAAGCACUUUUAUUUGAUGCAUGCUGCUGCAUGCUGUGGAGAAAUUAUUGGAAAAAUGGCCUGCACUAAAGUGUUUGCUUCUUCCCUAUCUUCUUCAGAAAAUUUCUUCAAUAUUUGAGUCUGGGUGCCAGUAGAAUACUUCUCUUAACUGCAAGAUAAUCCGUAAUGCAUCUUGGCCUUGAGCAGCAAACUUCAGAGUUUGUCUGUAUUAUGGAUUUUGAAGACAAAAUGAAAAUUGUCAUUCAUUGGUUUAUCCUCAAGAUUAUGUUUCAGCAGCUCUUCUCUGAAGCUACAAGAUCAGCUUCCAGUUUCAGUUAUUUCACUGUCAGGAGUACAGCACUAUUUGGAGAAUUCCUGAUGACAGACUCCCAUUUGCUGCUUUGGUUUCCAUUAUGAAAAACCACAAAGGAAAAGCUAUGUAGCAAACUACUUUGGUUUGCUGUUUGUUAAAAUGAAUGCAGAUUCUUCUGCUGUACAGGGACCACCUCUGCAAUUUAAAAAAACCCCAUAAAUAUUCCCUGCAGCAUACUAAGAAAUUUCCCUGAAGUCAAACGGGAGGCUCCAAGAACUUCAAGAAGUUCUUCCAAGAAGGCAGGCAUUGCCUCUCCUCAAUUCUGACUGUAAAGAAAAGAAGUUUUGAUACCCUUCAGCAACAGAAUGUGAUCAACAAGGAUGCAACAAGCAACAGUUUAUUUGUAGAAAAAUCCUUUAAAAUUUACUACAAUGUAAGAUUAAGGAAAAAAUAGUCUUAAUAUAUGUACAUACAAUAUAUAUAAACAAACACAUAUCGCACCAUGAAAAUUACAUGCUUUUAAGAACAGAGAAUGGGUUCUAUUCCCUCAUAUCAAUUUAAAAGUUAUCACUGCAAGAAACCUUGCUUCCUUUUUUUUUUAUCCCCAUCAAAGUGUUCAAGUACAGGAAGUAAGUAAUGCAGGAUCUAAUAGUAGAAAACCUUUGUUAUACACAAAUUACAACUGACAGCUAGACAAUAUUAUUCUGCAGUAUCCAACACUUGUAUUUUUUGAACUCUAUUAUAAUGAUAUGAACUUUUACCUGAGGUGCAUGGAAAUAACAAAGCAUGAUAAUUGGCAAGUUUAAGAGAUUUUCACAUUAUGAUUUGACUGUAAUUGAAGUUGAUCAGGUAUCACACCUAUACCUAUAGUACUGGCACAAGAAUGCUCUGCGUGAGUCAUCACCAAUGACUUAGAAGUGCAGGAAAAAUUAACAGGCAAGCACCACUUGCAAUGAUAAGCAUGCAGACAAUUUAAGUGAAACAGAGGUAGCAUGUUCUUGUAACUCCAGCAGGGUCAUUCAAAUCAACUGUACCCUCCCUCCUGCAAAAGGCACUCACUUUUUCAGCUAAAAACGAUGCACUUAAGUUUGGUCAGAUUGACCGCAAAUGGUGGAUUUCUCUCCUUACAAAUAUAAAAAGAAGUUAAGCAGAGGACACAGUGAAAAUGAAAAAAAAAACAAUGUAAGAAACAGACACAUAAGGUACUAUGUGCUAUUCUUCUCCCCCACCUUUUAUGGGGAGAAUUAUAU